GGACCCGCACAAGCGGUGGAGCAUGUGGUUUAAUUCGAUGCAACGCGAAAAACCUUACCUACAAUUGACAUACUGCGAAUUUUCUAGAGAUAGAUUAGUGCCUUCGGGAACGCAGAUACAGGUGCUGCAUGGCUGUCGUCAGCUCGUGUCGUGAGAUGUUGGGUUAAGUCCUAUAACGAGCGCAACCCUUACCCUUAUUUGCCAGCGGUUCGGCCGGGAACUAUAAGGGAACUGCCGGUAAUAAGCCGGAGGAAGGUGGGGACGACGUCAAGUCAUCAUGGCCCUUACAUGUAGGGCUACACACGUGCUACAAUGGGAGAUACAAACGGUUGCCAAAGCGCGAGCUGGAGCUAAUCCGAGAAAGUCUCUCGUAGUCCGAAUUGCAGUCUGGAACUCGACUGCAUGAAGCCGGAAUCGCUAGUAAUCG
This 427-nucleotide ribosomal RNA is filed under the name uncultured bacterium. RNAcentral describes it as "bacterial SSU rRNA". It matches the Rfam family "Bacterial small subunit ribosomal RNA", at positions 917 to 1344 of the family's 1533-position model. The record is from RNAcentral.